Rhizobiales bacterium 65-79 is the source of this 148-nucleotide non-coding RNA. NCBI's taxonomy places the organism in Bacteria, Pseudomonadati, Pseudomonadota, Alphaproteobacteria, Hyphomicrobiales. The record is from Rfam.
GCCCAAAGUCGCACGUGCCUGUGGGCGUCCCCCGGGCCUCGGAAUGGCGAGGCGAUCGGGACGGUACCCGGGAAGUAACGAGCCCGGUCGGUUCAGCGGCCAACCGCCGAUCCGAGGACGCCUUGAAGCAACGACGGUGCGGGCCUUU